Non-coding RNA from Vicia faba (fava bean), 330 nucleotides. Lineage: Eukaryota; Viridiplantae; Streptophyta; Magnoliopsida; Fabales; Fabaceae. The record is from the annotation of a GenBank genome assembly.
AUGUGCUAUUUGAAUAGACACAACCAAGGUGUACGAACUCAGAGACAUCAACAAAUACAACUGUGCGUGCAUGAUGCAAGUGUGAAUGAAUGUCAUGUGUAUGCUGACAAAAACGACAGGGGAGAUGGACAGAAGAUGAUAAGACAUCACAGUACAACCCGGCGCUCGGCUAAUCUCAAAAGGAGGGGAACAUUACUGGAGAUAGAAGACAAAAGCCAACAAUGCUGUAAAAUCCUUCUACAAGGCUUAAAUCUCUUGGAGAGGAAGAUAUUUUCAGGUAGAAAACCCAAAGUCCGGUCUUCUAUUGUCGACAACCCAAUGAAAGGAUAA